AGAGUUUGAUUAUGGCUCAGGAUGAACGCUGGCGGCGUGCCUAAUACAUGCAAGUCGAUCGGAAUGUAGCAAUACAUUAAGAGGCGAACGGGUGAGUAACACGUAGGUAAUCUGCCCCAAGGACUGGGAUACCCAAGCGAAAGUUUGGCUAAUACCGGAUAAGAGGAAACUUAAAAGCAGCGAAUGCUGCACCAUGGGAUGAGCCUGCGGCGCAUUAGCUAGUUGGUGAGGUAAAGGCCCACCAAGGCAAUGAUGCGUAGCCGACCUGAGAGGGUGAACGGCCACAUUGGAACUGAGACACGGUCCAG
Molecule: ribosomal RNA, 308 nt
Filed under: uncultured bacterium
Lineage: Bacteria
Description: bacterial SSU rRNA
Rfam family: Bacterial small subunit ribosomal RNA
Source: RNAcentral